GCCGGAAUAGCUCAGUUGGUAGAGCAGAGGACUGAAAAUCCUU
Molecule: transfer RNA, 43 nt
Filed under: Merceyopsis cataractae
Lineage: Eukaryota; Viridiplantae; Streptophyta; Bryopsida; Pottiales; Pottiaceae
Also listed under: 6 other names
Description: Scopelophila cataractae partial tRNA-Phe
Rfam family: tRNA
About the family: Transfer RNA (tRNA) molecules are approximately 80 nucleotides in length. Their secondary structure includes four short double-helical elements and three loops (D, anti-codon, and T loops). Further hydrogen bonds mediate the characteristic L-shaped molecular structure. tRNAs have two regions of fundamental functional importance: the anti-codon, which is responsible for specific mRNA codon recognition, and the 3' end, to which the tRNAs corresponding amino acid is attached (by aminoacyl-tRNA synthetases). tRNAs cope with the degeneracy of the genetic code in two manners: having more than one tRNA (with a specific anti-codon) for a particular amino acid; and 'wobble' base-pairing, i.e. permitting non-standard base-pairing at the 3rd anti-codon position.
Source: RNAcentral